CAACGGUGCUCAGAUGGUUACAUGUAUCCAAAAGCUUCCAUCCAAAAAUAUUUGGGAUACUUCUCCUGUUUUGAAGAAAAUGAACUGCAGCCUUUUUGAAGUGCAUUAAUUAUGUACCUCAUAAUUCAGUUUAUUUGGAGAUAUGUUCUGCUUCUGUUUUCAUGGAUUCCUAUUUCUACAUCAUUCAUUUGACAAACAUAAAAAGUGGACAUUGUGGCAGCAUGGGCUCUGAACAUGUUCUCUCCUUCCUGUUCUCAAGAACAUACAAUGGAGAAGGCACAUUGAGUAGCACACCUGCCCAACCUUCCACACCGCCAUCAGCUUUCCGUGUAUCAAACAAAAAACACCAAACAAAGAAGACUGUUUCUAGGUAAGUAUAGUGUGCGAAUGUGAUCGCGGGUGAUUGUUUUUUCGAAUGAAUAUGGAGAUCAUAAUUAAAAACCAAAACUUUGUCAGCAUCAGCAAAGGUGCAAAGACCUCUUAUGAAAAUGCAGUCCCUGAUGAAAACUCUUCUGCCAAAAACCUAAAAGUAAUUUUUUUUUCUCCACAAAAUAUAUAUCUACACAUGACCUAUGUCAUGACAAUUACAUUGUUCUCGUCUCUACUUCAGUGUGAUUCAGACGAAGUGUGUUUUCCUGAAACCAACCAGAACACUGAGCCUUCUUCUGUGAAGGAUGAUGCAACCCAACAGAACAAAAGAGAUGAUCACAAGUUCGCCUUACUCUCCGGUAAAGAGGAGCCAAAUUUGUCAUCUCUCAAGUCACCAAAGCGACCUAACUGCCCACCUGAAGAUGAAACUUUUAUUGUGGAGAAUGACAAAAGAAAAAGAAAAAGAAAAAGUGACUACAGUCAGCCUGAGGACUACAAAGGGUCUGAGAUCGGCUCAGGUUUGGAGGACAGAGGGAACACCCAGUCCAAUUGUGAGGGGAACGAAAACAAGCCACAUAUCAUCCUGUCAUUCAAGCCAGAGCAAAUGAGAGAGAAGAGGUUUUUGAAUGAAACAUUUACUCAAAAUUCAGAAGAUGAACACUCCACUGCAAAAAUGCCUGAUCAGCCAUUUGGAGUGCGUACAUCCUGGGAAGAUUGUGCUGUUGAACAAAUUAAAAACAUUGCUUAUGGGAGCAUCGAAGACUUAAACAAUGACAUCAGUGUACCAAUCAGAAUAAGCAAUUUUGUCCAAUAUGCCAAUGUAAUUGACAUUGUUCAAAAAUUUUGGAGGAAUCAGGAAAAGCAGGAUGUCACCCUUUUAGUUGGUAGAUUCUCAGUACGGUUGCAAGGAAGUGAUCUGUACUGUUGUCCAGUCAAAAAAGAUGAGAAAAAUCUUCAUCUUCAUUACAAAAAUCUUUCUUAUGCAACACUGAAACUAUCGAAAAGAAAUGCUAAAAACUUUUCUGAGACAAUUUGGAACUAUAUCAUGGGGAACCAUGACAAAGUUGAAUCUUAUGUACUGACACCUCAAGAUGCCACUGCAGUAUGUGCUGUUUUGUUCUCAGAAGUUAUUAGGUAUCCUGACAUGUUUUUCCACAACAUUCUUCUGAUGCAUU
RNAcentral lists this long non-coding RNA (1544 nucleotides) under Sinocyclocheilus anshuiensis. RNAcentral's name for it is "lncRNA (ENSSANG00000032323.1)". The record is from RNAcentral. Lineage: Eukaryota; Metazoa; Chordata; Actinopteri; Cypriniformes; Cyprinidae.